RNAcentral lists this ribosomal RNA (471 nucleotides) under uncultured bacterium. RNAcentral's name for it is "bacterial SSU rRNA". It matches the Rfam family "Bacterial small subunit ribosomal RNA", at positions 28 to 507 of the family's 1533-position model. The record is from RNAcentral.
GAUGAACGCUGGCGGCGUGCUUAACACAUGCAAGUCGAACGGACUUUAUUUGAAGCCUAGCGAUAAUAAAGUUAGUGGCGGACGGGUGAGUAACGCGUGAGCAACCUUUCUCUCAGCGGGGAAUAACACAGGGAAACUUGUACUAAUACCGCAUAAGACCACAGUGCCGCAUGGCACAAGGGUCAAAGAUUUAUCGGUGUAGGGUGAGCUCGCGUCCCAUUAGAUAGUUGGCGGGGUAACGGCCCACCAAGUCGACGAUGGGUAGCCGACCUGAGAGGGUGAUCGGCCACACUGGGACUGAGACACGGCCCAGACUCCUACGGGAGGCAGCAGUGGGGAAUAUUGGGCAAUGGGGGAAACCCUGACCCAGCAACGCCGCGUGAAGGAAGAAGGCCUUCGGGUUGUAAACUUCUUUUACCAGGGACGAAGAACGUGACGGUACCUGGAGAAAAAGCAACGGCUAACUACGUG